UCGCCCGCCGCGCGCGGCGGGCGGGGCGGGGGCACGGGGGGCCUACGGGAGGCAGCAGUGAGGAAUAUUGGGCAAUGGGCGCAAGCCUGAACCAGCCAUGCCGCGUGCAGGAUGAAUGUUCUGUGAAUUGUAAACUGCUUUUCUAAGGGAAGAAACCUAUCUACGUGUAGGUAGUUGCCGGUACCUUAGGAAUAAGCAUCGGCUAACUCCGUGCCAGCAGCCGCGGUAAUA
RNAcentral lists this ribosomal RNA (231 nucleotides) under uncultured bacterium. Its description in RNAcentral is "partial 16S ribosomal RNA". It matches the Rfam family "Bacterial small subunit ribosomal RNA", at positions 284 to 525 of the family's 1533-position model. The record is from RNAcentral.